CGUGGGCCUCUGCGAGGUGGUAUUUAAGUAUCUCGCUGAGGCUUUUCGGCCUCGUUUUCCUUUCCAUGGUACUGGGGUUCGGGCGCAUGUUUCAACGCUCAAGAAUGGAAGAGAGCCGCCGUGUUAGAUGGAGAAAGCCUAAGCGUUCUGAGUAGCACCAGCCCCCAGCGAAGGGUGUUGUGUUGAGCACAGGGGCGUGAAGAUCGACUGCAAGGCCUGAAACUAAGUGAGGGGUUCCCCCCCCCUUUCUUCCAGAUGUGGUUCAGCUCAAAAGACCUUACGGGUUGGAGGACGGGACAAGCCCUCUCCUUGCAAACUAAGCAUUCCGGUGAUGCUCCAGCAUCUCCUCCCCAAGCCUGAAGAAUCCAACUGCCUCCAGGGGUGAACACAGGUUGUCCUGAUGGUGGUGAUGUGUUCGUCUAUCUUACAGUGCCUGCUGAUGUGCACAGGGCGGAACUCCUGGAAAGAGUAAAGGACAGAGCAGCUUGUUCCCGAGGGCUACCAGAAAGCCUCCAGAGUUAAUCAGGUGCAGUUUCCCACAACCUGCUUACUUGCUCAGAGAUUUAGCACCUUAUCUGCAGUCCAAGAAUGAUUUGAGGUGCCCUCAGCCAUUGCUCUGCUCAGCUCCAGUCCCAAGUCAGGUCUGAAGAAGGAAGAAGGUAUAUGUAAUGGAGACAUCCCAAGCAGACCUCAAGGUGUGUCAACACAGAGCCCAACGCAGGACUUGAACUCUCCAACUGAGAUGACCUGAGCUGGAAUCAAGGGUCAGACGCUUCAUAGACUGAGCCAACCAGGUGCCCCUAAAAAUUAAGUCAAUACCAAAAGGUCUACCUUGGCCAGUCAUUGUCAAUUCAUUUUCUUGGUAUGUAAAUAUAACUGAUUGGAUUCGUCCUGUU
Molecule: long non-coding RNA, 896 nt
Organism: Suricata suricatta (meerkat)
Lineage: Eukaryota; Metazoa; Chordata; Mammalia; Carnivora; Herpestidae
Exons: 12
Source: RefSeq, a predicted model, not a curated record